AACGAAAUCAUAAUAUUCUGUAUCUCAACUGAGAAACAACGUCUGUGUGAGAGCUAAAAAAAAAGAAAAUAAUUUAGUGAAAAUAAAAAAAAAAACAAAAAUGAAUAAUUUUUUAUCAAUUUUUUCGGACAAACCGGUAGCAGAACUCUCUGAGCCUCUUAAGGAGGAUUCGGCCGUAUGUUCGUUGCCACGUUGUGAACAUGAGCUCAAGUUGCGAGUGAUUAGUAUUGCUGCAGUUGUAUUACUUUUUCUAUAUGUGCUAUAUAAAUUUUUGCGUUCUCCGAUCCCGAAUUGGGAAGAAAGGAUUGUAGACGAUUUGCAAAAUACUACAGAUACAGGACACGCAAACUACAAUAGAACAGGAAAAGUAUCAGUUAAACACUUUAGCAAGUUCGAAGAUAUGAUUUUAAUGUGCAACAAGCGCACUAUCUCAACACAAACCGUGUUAUCCACAAAUGGCCAUGUUAUGACUAUGUGUGUUUAUAACGAGGAGGACAUAAUAAUAACUGAAAGGGCAAUCAUUUAGGAAACAGGAUCACUCAUUAAAGGCAAAUCUAUGUAGGGUUCAAGAAGAUUCCACAAUCCACCACAAUGAAGAAUUUCCAGGCAAAUCUAUGUAGGGUUCAAGAAGAUAACACAAUCCACCACAAUGAAAAACUCCGAGGGCACAUACAACAUCCUGAUGUACAUCUACACCCAGAUACAUAUGUUCCUGUUCAUCGAACUGGGUACACAAAAAAUAAAAACAGUGAGAUGAAAAAUUAA
Drosophila willistoni is the source of this 765-nucleotide long non-coding RNA. RefSeq lists it as uncharacterized. The transcript has 3 exons. The record is from RefSeq and is a predicted model, not a curated record. Lineage: Eukaryota; Metazoa; Arthropoda; Insecta; Diptera; Drosophilidae.